GUAAUGAUGGUAAUGGGAAAAGCAUCAGCUAAAUUUGGUUAUUUCUGCAUAUCCAAAUUGCAACCGAAUGUGCAGUUUGCAUAUUUGCUAAAGACAAAUAUGGCUUGAAUUUUAUCAUAACCAGCGAAGCCUAAAUAAAAUAUGAGAUUUGCACAGUAUUCAAAUAUCAGGACUUAUAAUAUAUAAAAUAUCACCAUGUGUUCAACAUGUAGAUCAGGGUCUUCCACCUAAAUAUGGUACAUUAAAAUAGUAUUGGGAAAACCGUGUUACAAGAGGAGAUUUUGAUGAAUCUGUAGCACUGGGGUGUAACAUGUUUGAAGGGACACUAUUGUCACCAAAACAACUUUAUCUUAAUGAAGCAGUUUGGGUGUAGAGAGCAUGCCCCUCCAGUCUUACUGCUCAAUUCUCUGCCAUUUAGAAGAAUUGGGCAAUGAGCCUGCAGGGGCAUGAUCACUUAAACUGUUUCAUUAAGCUAACAUUG
Molecule: non-coding RNA, 481 nt
Organism: Pelobates cultripes (western spadefoot toad)
Lineage: Eukaryota; Metazoa; Chordata; Amphibia; Anura; Pelobatidae
Source: the annotation of a GenBank genome assembly